CAGUAAAUAGUUUAAUUAAAAUAUUAAUUUUGGGGAUUAAAGAUGAGAAUUUUCUUUUUACUGA
RNAcentral lists this transfer RNA (64 nucleotides) under Sadoletus valdezi. RNAcentral's name for it is "tRNA-Pro". Lineage: Eukaryota; Metazoa; Arthropoda; Insecta; Hemiptera; Heterogastridae. The record is from RNAcentral.